CCUACGGGGGGCAGCAGUGGGGAAUAUUGCACAAUGGGCGGAAGCCUGAUGCAGCAACGCCGCGUGCGGGAUGACGGCCUUCGGGUUGUAAACCGCUUUCGCCUGUGACGAAGCGUGAGUGACGGUAAUGGGUAAAGAAGCACCGGCUAACUACGUGCCAGCAGCCGCGGUAAUA
Molecule: ribosomal RNA, 175 nt
Filed under: uncultured bacterium
Lineage: Bacteria
Description: partial 16S ribosomal RNA
Rfam family: Bacterial small subunit ribosomal RNA
Source: RNAcentral